RNAcentral lists this ribosomal RNA (927 nucleotides) under uncultured bacterium. RNAcentral's name for it is "bacterial SSU rRNA". It matches the Rfam family "Bacterial small subunit ribosomal RNA", at positions 8 to 916 of the family's 1533-position model. The record is from RNAcentral.
AGAGUUUGAUUCUGGCUCAGAGUGAACGCUGGCGGCGUGCCUAACACAUGCAAGUCGAACGCGAAAGUCCUCUUCGGAGGGCAAGUAGAGUGGCAGACGGGUGAGUAAUGCAUAGGUAAUUUUCCCUUGAGUGGGGGACAACUGAUCGAAAGGUCAGCUAAUCCCGCAUGACAUCCAGUCAUAUAAGUGAUUGGAUUAAAGAGGGGGCUCUUUCGGGACCUUUCGCUUAAGGAUGAGCUUAUGUCCUAUUAGCUAGUUGGUAGGGUAACGGCCUACCAAGGCUCUGAUGGGUAGCCGAGCUUAGAGGCUGAUCGGCCACACUGGAACUGAGACACGGUCCAGACUCCUACGGGAGGCAGCAGUGGGGAAUUUUGCGCAAUGGGCGAAAGCCUGACGCAGCGACGCCGCGUGAGGGAUGAAGGUCUUCGUGAUCGUAAACCUCUGUCAGGGAGGAUUAAAUGUAUAGAUGCUAAUACCAUCUAUGCUUGACUUAACUCCCAGAGGAAGCCCCGGCUAACUACGUGCCAGCAGCCGCGGUAAUACGUAGUGGGCAAGCGUUACUCGGAUUUAUUGGGCGUAAAGCGAAUGUAGGCGGUUUCAUAAGUCAGAGGUGAAAUCCCUCAGCUUAACUGAGGAAUAGCCUUUGAUACUACGAAACUUGAGGACAGGAGAGGAAAGUGGAAUUCCCGGUGUAGCGGUGGAAUGCGUAGAUAUCGGGAGGAACACCAGAGGCGAAGGCGGCUUUCUGGACUGAUCCUGACGCUGAGAUUCGAAAGCCAGGGGAGCAAACAGGAUUAGAUACCCUGGUAGUCCUGGCUGUAAACGAUGGAUACUAGAUCUUGCCUGAAGGGCUUGGUCGUAGCUAACGCGUUAAGUAUCCCGCCUGGGGAGUACGGUCGCAAGGCUGAAACUCAAAUGAAUUGACGG